This is a long non-coding RNA of Hipposideros armiger (great roundleaf bat), 846 nucleotides long. RefSeq lists it as uncharacterized. NCBI's taxonomy places the organism in Eukaryota, Metazoa, Chordata, Mammalia, Chiroptera, Hipposideridae. The transcript has 3 exons. The record is from RefSeq and is a predicted model, not a curated record.
GGGACAACAUUCUAACAGGGUCUCAAAAUUAAUGACUAAUAUUAGUGCUUUUCCAUGAAAAGUGCAUUUUCUGAUUUGCCUGAUCCGUUGGCCUUUUGUCAGCACUUACAAUGGUUUGGACUGUAUUACUCUGUGUUUGCUGAUGCUCUUAGCUGUGUGAGAGCUUCCAGCCCCAUGGCUGAGCCCCAGCACAGGGGGUCCCAGCACAUGCCUCUUGCAGAAAUAGCAUCUACAUCUAGCUUGUCUGACCUCAUCUGCAUCUUCUCCCACCAGCUCUAAAAGCAUCAUCUCUGUGGUCCACGUGGCCGAAUUUCAGGUCACCCCCCGUGUUGGCUGCAGACAAGAAUUAAAUGGAAGGAAAACAGAAACCAUCCAGAGGGAAAGAGGAGGUCCUCCGUCUUCAGUUCACGUGACAGCGCGCUUCUAAGAUAAGCAUGACCCUGGUAAAGAUAGAGUGUGAACCCAGGUUUCCUUGGCCUCAAGGUGAAAGCAAAUGCAUCAAUUUCAUUGAGCAGCUGGGAACCCCCAUCUAGUUCUCUCCUGCUUUGCCCUCCAGACCUGAGUGAUGGACAGACUCUGACACGGAGCAACAUGCAGAGUCAGCAGUCUGACCCUGAGUACUUCCACCAUGGGAUGUCCGAGCUGAAAGGGACCUUAAAAUGGUCCCAGGUGGACCUAAAAAUCAGUCCAACUUCCUCAUUGAAAACAAAUACAUGAAAGGUAAGACAGAGCUGCCCAGCGGAGCCUUCAUCCAAGAAAACAGAACUGACAGUAAGGACUAAGGAAAUUAACUUUCCACGCACCCUACAGUUUUGAAAAGAACAUUCUUAUCCAAUUGCUAUGAAA